RNAcentral lists this ribosomal RNA (160 nucleotides) under uncultured Gardnerella sp. Its description in RNAcentral is "partial 16S ribosomal RNA". It matches the Rfam family "Bacterial small subunit ribosomal RNA", at positions 356 to 527 of the family's 1533-position model. Lineage: Bacteria; Bacillati; Actinomycetota; Actinomycetes; Bifidobacteriales; Bifidobacteriaceae. The record is from RNAcentral.
GGCGGAUUGCGCGCGACGGGCGCGGUAAUACGCAGCGACGCCGCGUGCGGGAUGAAGGCCUUCGGGUUGUAAACCGCUUUUGAUUGGGAGCAAGCCUUCGGGUGAGUGUACCUUUCGAAUAAGCGCCGGCUAACUACGUGCCAGCAGCCGCGGUAAUACA